UGAACUUUUCUCAAGGUUGACCUCGGAUCAGGUAGGGAUACCCGCUGAACUUAAGCAUAUCAAUAAG
Molecule: ribosomal RNA, 67 nt
Filed under: Lasiodiplodia hormozganensis
Lineage: Eukaryota; Fungi; Ascomycota; Dothideomycetes; Botryosphaeriales; Botryosphaeriaceae
Description: partial 28S ribosomal RNA
Source: RNAcentral